This 406-nucleotide ribosomal RNA is filed under the name uncultured bacterium. RNAcentral's name for it is "partial 16S ribosomal RNA". It matches the Rfam family "Bacterial small subunit ribosomal RNA", at positions 29 to 526 of the family's 1533-position model. The record is from RNAcentral.
AUUGAACGCUGGCGGCAGGCCUAACACAUGCAAGUCGAGCGAGCGGCGGACGGGUGAGUAAUGUAUGGGGAUCUGCCCGAUAGAGGGGGAUAACUACUGGAAACGGUGGCUAAUACCGCAUACUAUCGGCUCACCCCCUAUGGGAUUGGCUAGUAGGUGGGGUAAAGGCGCACCUAGGCGACGAUCGCUAGCUGGGCUGAGAGGAUGAGCAGCCAGACUGGGACUGAGACACGGCCCAGACUCCUACGGGAGGCAGCAGUGGGGAAUAUUGCACAAUGGGCGCAAGCCGGAUGCAGCCAUGCCGCGUGUAUGAAGAAGGCCUUAGGGUUGUAAAGUUCUUUCAGCGGGGAGGGGUUAUCCGCAGAAGAAGCGCCGGCUAACUACGUGCCAGCAGCCGCGGUAAUAC